UCCGGCAUAGCUCAGUUGGUAGUAGCGCAUGACUGUUAAUCAUGAUGUCGUAGGUUCGAGUCCUACUGGCGGAG
This 74-nucleotide transfer RNA is filed under the name Streptococcus sanguinis. RNAcentral describes it as "tRNA-Asn(gtt)". It matches the Rfam family "tRNA". Rfam says of the family: Transfer RNA (tRNA) molecules are approximately 80 nucleotides in length. Their secondary structure includes four short double-helical elements and three loops (D, anti-codon, and T loops). Lineage: Bacteria; Bacillati; Bacillota; Bacilli; Lactobacillales; Streptococcaceae. The record is from RNAcentral. RNAcentral also lists the same sequence under 8 other names.